This 509-nucleotide ribosomal RNA is filed under the name uncultured bacterium. RNAcentral describes it as "bacterial SSU rRNA". It matches the Rfam family "Bacterial small subunit ribosomal RNA", at positions 28 to 524 of the family's 1533-position model. The record is from RNAcentral.
GAUGAACGCUAGCGGCAGGCCUAAUACAUGCAAGUCGAGGGGUAGUGGAAGCUUGCUUCCAUGAGACCGGCGCACGGGUGCGUAACGCGUAUGCAACCUACCUCUAUCUGGGGGAUAGCCCGGAGAAAUCCGGAUUAACACCGCAUAAAAUCACAGUACGGCAUCGUACAAUGAUCAAAUAUUUAUAGGAUAGGGAUGGGCAUGCGUGUCAUUAGUUAGUUGGCGGGGUAACGGCCCACCAAGACCACGAUGACUAGGGGAUCUGAGAGGAUGGCCCCCCACACUGGUACUGAGACACGGACCAGACUCCUACGGGAGGCAGCAGUAAGGAAUAUUGGUCAAUGGAGGCAACUCUGAACCAGCCAUGCCGCGUGCAGGAAGACGGCCCUCUGGGUUGUAAAGCUCUUUUUGUACGGGAACGAAAACGGGUUUCUUUUUUAAUAAAGAGAGCUAAUGACGGUACCGUAAGAAUAAGCACCGGCUAACUACGUGCCAGCAGCCGCGGUAAU